GCUAGUAAUGGCAGGUCAGCAUACUGCCGUGAAUACGUUCCCGGGCCUUGUACACACCGCCCGUCACACCAUGAGAGUUGGAGAUACCCGAAGCCUGUGAGCUAACAAACGAGGCAGCAGUCGAAGGUAGAAUCAAUGAUUGGGGUGAAGUCGUAACAAGGUACC
RNAcentral lists this ribosomal RNA (165 nucleotides) under uncultured bacterium. Its description in RNAcentral is "partial 16S ribosomal RNA". It matches the Rfam family "Bacterial small subunit ribosomal RNA", at positions 1334 to 1500 of the family's 1533-position model. The record is from RNAcentral.